Long non-coding RNA from Pogoniulus pusillus (Red-fronted tinkerbird), 801 nucleotides. RefSeq lists it as uncharacterized. NCBI's taxonomy places the organism in Eukaryota, Metazoa, Chordata, Aves, Piciformes, Lybiidae. The transcript is spliced from 2 exons. The record is from RefSeq and is a predicted model, not a curated record.
UCCUCUUUCACUCCCUCUGUGCUCCCUGCCUCUGUGCUUACCAGCAUCACCAUCCUGUUUCUGUUCCUCUUUGUUUUACCACGUGGCCAUCACCAUCAAAAUCAGCUGGAUAAUCUACUGAACUGCUGCUCUGGCUUUUUAAAAGGAAUUGGUGAACAAGAAUACAGCAAUAAAGCUCUCAGCAUGCACUGCUCUCACUACAUCAUUACACCAGAUUUAGUCACAAGGCUCAUACUGGUCAGUUGGAUUCCCAUACUGGCCAGUUGGAUUCCCAUACUGGCGACAUGGCCAUUACCAUUGGCAUGUGGUAAUUAUCACAGUGGAGAAGACAAGGCAGAGAAAGACAGAAAGGAGUUGUAGUUUGUGGUGUUAAAGCAGUAUUAACAACAGCAAAAUGCUGCCUUUUGUAAUCACUGGGCUGGAGGAGUUGAAGUUACUCCUAUUGUUUUGUCCACUUACUGUCCCACCUGUGCACCAUUUACUCUUACCACUGAGAAGCCAGCGUGGAAAAGAUAUCGGUGGUUUCAGGUUCUUGGAACAGCUUCAAAAGCUCUGGUUCAGAGGAUAAGUCAGCAAGGAUCCUUAACUCAAUGUGGGAGAAAUCUAGAAAAGAGUGUUCAAAUAAAUCUAUUGCUCUAAAAUAAAAACCCAUCUCUGCCUUUGAUCCAAACUGUCAGAAAUUUAAAUGCAAGCCUGGACUCUCCAGCCAUUUCUUCACACUCAAGAAAACCCAAAUACCUCUAAAAAGCUCAUCCUGAAGAUGUUAGAUUCCAGCCACAAGAUCACAGUCUGAUUCCUUUG